Molecule: non-coding RNA, 721 nt
Organism: Musa acuminata subsp. malaccensis (wild Malaysian banana)
Lineage: Eukaryota; Viridiplantae; Streptophyta; Magnoliopsida; Zingiberales; Musaceae
Source: RefSeq, a predicted model, not a curated record
UUAUAAAUGGGACAGCCGAACUCCAACCUCUCAAAUCGCAAACCCUCCCCCGUUCUGUUCUUGGAGCGCUUAUCGACAUUUCCUCGGCGGAGGCGUGAGAAACACCGGCGGGCCGGAGAUCGAAACCCUAGAAGAAGCGAGCGCCAUCGUUCUCGCCCCUAUAGCCGGCGAGUGAGUUUGAUUGUAACCCUGGAGAUGUUGUUCGUUGAUGUCGCAUUACGGAAGGUUCUUCAUCUUUUUUGUUCGUUCCUAUUUCUCUGACCUGGAAUUAGGGUUUUCUGUCCUGUUCUUGUUGACGUGAGCUCGCGAUCUCCCACGAGCGGUUGCCCUACGAGAGCUGAUUGCUCGGAUUCUCCGUCCGAUUCUUUCAUGAGCGCUGGAUUGCUUAAGGAUUUGCACUGUGGAGGAUUCAUGAUUUCCGUGGGUGGUUCAACUAACUCUUCUUAUAUAUUUGCUCUCAUCGUUCCUGUAUAGGCUGGAACGAGUUAGGAUUCCCGGCAUUUGUUAUUAAUUGAUGUUGUUUACUCGGAGUUUCUUAAUUUUCCUGGUAAUUUUUUUUCUUAAUCAUGCUUCACACCGUAACCAAAAUGUAUAGCGAUGGAGUAGGUUUUCACGGGUCUUAUCCUCCGCCAUGAACAGCGAUGGACAGACAAAUCUAUAUACAAAUCAUCCAUGACAGUGUAGUGAAAAAUUGUGAAAGCUUGAUGAUUUUAUUCUUUCA